GGUGACCUGCGGAAGGAUCAUUACCGAGUGAGGGCCCUCUGGGUCCAACCUCCCACCCAUGUUUAUUGUACCUUGUUGCUUCGGCGGGCCCGCCUCACGGCCGCCGGGGGGCUUCUGCCCUCUGGCCCGCGCCCGCCGAAGACACCAUUGAACACUGUCUGAAGAUUGCAGUCUGAGCAAUUAGCUAAAUAAGUUAAAACUUUCAACAACGGAUCUCUUGGUUCCGGCAUCGAUGAAGAACGCAGCGAAAUGCGAUACGUAAUGUGAAUUGCAGAAUUCAGUGAAUCAUCGAGUCUUUGAACGCACAUUGCGCCCCUUGGUAUUCCGGGGGGCAUGCCUGUCCGAGCGUCAUUGCUGCCCUCAAGCACGGCUUGUGUGUUGGGCCCCGUCCUCCUUCCCGGGGGACGGGCCCGAAAGGCAGCGGCGGCACCGCGUCCGGUCCUCGAGCGUAUGGGGCUUUGUCACCCGCUCUUGUAGGCCCGGCCGGCGCUUGCCGACAACCAUCAAUCUUUUUUCAGGUUGACCUCGGAUCAGGUAGGGAUACCCGCUGAACUUAAGCAUAUCAAUAAGCGGAGGAAAAGAAACCAACAGGGAUUGCCUCAGUAACGGCGAGUGAAGCGGCAAGAGCUCAAAUUUGAAAGCUGGCCCCCUCGGGGUCCGCAUUGUAAUUUGCAGAGGAUGCUUCGGGAGUGGCCCCCAUCUAAGUGCUCUGGAACGGGCCGUCAUAGAGGGUGAGAAUCCCGUAUGGGGAUGGGGUGUCCGCGACCAUGUGAAGCUCCUUC
Molecule: ribosomal RNA, 782 nt
Filed under: fungal sp.
Lineage: Eukaryota; Fungi
Description: eukaryotic LSU rRNA
Rfam family: Eukaryotic large subunit ribosomal RNA (bases 521-782)
Source: RNAcentral